Molecule: ribosomal RNA, 460 nt
Filed under: uncultured bacterium
Lineage: Bacteria
Description: partial 16S ribosomal RNA
Rfam family: Bacterial small subunit ribosomal RNA
Source: RNAcentral
CCUACGGGAGGCAGCAGUGAGGAAUAUUGGUCAAUGGACGAGAGUCUGAACCAGCCAAGUAGCGUGAAGGAUGACUGCCCUAUGGGUUGUAAACUUCUUUUAUAUGGGAAUAAAACGUUCCACGUGUGGGAUUUUGUAUGUACCAUAUGAAUAAGGAUCGGCUAACUCCGUGCCAGCAGCCGCGGUAAUACGGAGGAUCCGAGCGUUAUCCGGAUUUAUUGGGUUUAAAGGGAGCGUAGGUGGAUUGUUAAGUCAGUUGUGAAAGUUUGCGGCUCAACCGUAAAAUUGCAGUUGAAACUGGCAGUCUUGAGUACAGUAGAGGUGGGCGGAAUUCGUGGUGUAGCGGUGAAAUGCUUAGAUAUCACGAAGAACUCCGAUUGCGAAGGCAGUUCACUGGACUGCAACUGACACUGAGGCUCGAGAGUGUGGGUAUCAAACAGGAUUAGAUACCCUUGUAGUC